CGAGAAGUUUGAGUCCUCGGCUCAGGAUGAAACGCUAGCGGGCAGGCUUAACACAAUGCAAGUCGAGGGGUAAAAAUAGGGCUUCGGCUAUUUGAGACCGGCAAACGGUGCGGACACGUACACAACCUACCUUUAUCAGGGGAAUAGCCCAGAGAAAUUUGGAUUAAUGCCCCAUAGUAUUAUUUGAUGGCAUCAUUAGAUAAUUAAAGAACUUCGGAUAGAGAUGGGUGUGCGUAAGAUUAGCUAGUUGGUAAGGUAACGGCUUACCAAGGCGACGAUCUUUAGCUGAUGUGAGAGCAUGAUCAGCCACACGGGCACUGAGACACGGGCCCGACUCCUACGGGAGGCAGCAGUGAGGAAUAUUGGUCAAUGGACGGAAGUCUGAACCAGCCAUGCCGCGUGAAGGAUGAAGGCGUUCUGCGUUGUAAACUUCUUUUAUUUGAGAAGAAACCACUUUUUUCUAAGAGUGUUGACGGUAUCAGAUGAAUAAGCACCGGCUAACUCCGUG
Molecule: ribosomal RNA, 508 nt
Filed under: uncultured Filimonas sp.
Lineage: Bacteria; Pseudomonadati; Bacteroidota; Chitinophagia; Chitinophagales; Chitinophagaceae
Description: bacterial SSU rRNA
Rfam family: Bacterial small subunit ribosomal RNA
Source: RNAcentral